Molecule: non-coding RNA, 3051 nt
Organism: Podarcis lilfordi (Lilford's wall lizard)
Lineage: Eukaryota; Metazoa; Chordata; Lepidosauria; Squamata; Lacertidae
Source: the annotation of a GenBank genome assembly
AGACUUUGGACCUGCAUGUCUUGAACAGCAGCUCCCACACCUCAUGGAAGUAAUCUUUGAAGCUUGCAGGGGUUUCAAAAGCAGCUUCUAAUAUAUCAUGGGGUCUUCUGUUCCAAGAAAAGAAGUUAAUUUAUUUCUAAACAUGAGACAGCUCUUGGCCACUCUUGUAGAUGUUCUGUGGAUGUCCAGACUUAGUGGAUCAUGUCUUUGACUUGUAAAGCAGGGAAGGCAACACCUCCUCAUUUUGGAGCAAAAUGGGAAAACUCCAUCUCAAUAUCCAGCAUCCCCUGACCUGCUAACGACAUUUGUAGAAGUUAUUUUUUACUGAACUCACUUUAAAAAUUAUUUUUAUAUAUAAAAGAGCUAUUAAUAUAGCUGUGACCUUAAUAGAGUUUGAAUUCACAGGUGCUGUAUCACAGGAUUUUAAAAAAACUUCCACAUUUUAUCUCUCUUUGCUUGACCCCAGUGACUGCAUAAAAUGUCUCACCAUUUGGAUAUUUACAUGUCUUCACAACGAAAUGUGUAUGAAUUUGUGCAUGAUAUUCUGCAUGUGACAUUGAAAGUGAGGUAAUUGGACAGCAGGAGAUGAUGGAGUCAGGCUUUGGUAUCCAUAAGGACUUUUUAAAAGCUACUGAAAGUAAGCAGAUGUUCUUAAAAACAUUGAUGAAUGUGAUAGGGACAAUACAAAACAUUUAUAUGACAUUUUAAUAUAUCACUGUACUCCUUGUUGUUAUAUCUAUAAUAGCUGCCACCCAGGCCCACUAUUCAUAAUUACUAAAAAAUAGAUUAGAAUCUCAAAUCCAUCCAUUAGCAUGCAUGCCUUAAAUGCUUUAUGGAAAAAUGCACCCAGCUACCAGUCAAUCAGCAUGAUUGUGGGUCUAACAGGGCAAGUAGAUUAAAACCAUUUUUAUGAUAAGUAAGCUAUAUUGACACAUUCCGAGUACUCCUGGACAUUUAUCCAUGGUAACAUAAAUCUUCCACCACAGGCAGAAUGCCUUUGUCUUAAGUAUUUCUGAAACUGAUACACAUUUCAGCAUAGAAUACGUAUGUAGCCUGUUUUACAAAUGGGAAAUAUAGGUAAUGUGAUUUUAACUUGCACCUGAAUACAAAUAAAAUGGACUUAGAAUUCAGGAGUGAAUGUUGUACAAAGUUGAGAGUCAUCAGUUAUGUUGUUUAAUGGACUGGCCAAUCCAUAGGAUCUCUCAGCUAGGCUACUAGACUCAAAGUAGCAUUUUGCAGUGAAUUUACUUCAAUAUUUAUGGCACAUUCCACCAUGCAUAUCUGUAGACUGUAUAGCUAAAGCACCAGUUUUCAUACUAUUUCUGGUAACAACCUUAAAAUAGCAUGCCACUAUAAAGAACAACCAUAAUGUAUAUUACUUUACGAGGAACAAGUUCUUCAGAAGUGCAUAAUGGGGAGCAACACAGAGACCAAAACCCAUCUACUUGUAGGCUAUAAUCCUAUAUAUAUUUUCCUGAGAGUAAGUUUCAUUGAACUCAGUGGUCCAUAUUCAAAGAUGCUAUAUGUCAUCCAUCUCACCUGUCAACCUUAUUGAACUAAUUAUAACUAGUGGUUCAAAUAACCCCUUAACUGCACCUUUGCAGUUUCAUUUCUUCCUUCCAUAGGUGUUAUAGGUUCAGAAAAAAAUGAGAAGGAAAACCAUAUACUUUAUUUGCUCUUCUUGAAUCUCCUGACCAUAAUAAUUAGUAACAAAUCAUCAUUAUUGGUAUUUUUUCUUAUUUACACAUUUUGGUUGGACAACUAUCCACUGCUUAAAUCAAUGCACUGACCUUUUCAAGUUCUAGAAUUAAUGAGUCAAAAGAAAAUCAAGCUGUUAAUUUGGAAGGUGACUAUUCUGCAUUUCUGAACUUAUUUUAUUCACUGCCUUAGUUUGCACGUAACACUCAGUCAAAUCAUGGCUUAGUGUGGAUAAGCAAGUGUAUGGCUUUUCGGAGGAGAUCGUGGCUAUUUUGGUCCUCCCAAAUCGUUUUGCUGCUGCCCUGCAACCUAACCUGGCCUCGUGGUUUAGCUCUCUCCAGACAAACCAUGAGAUGUAAACAAUGUUUGACCUAUUGUUUGCAGCGUGUGGUUUGUCUGGAAGUGGUAAAACAUGAACCUGGAUUUAACAUGCUAAACCAAACCACGGCUUAGUUCAGUGCAGCAGCAAAACAACCAAAGAGGAGCAAAGUGAUUGUGGUCUCUUCUCUGGGAGUCCACACAUUUGCUCAAAUGCCCUGCAAACACAGGGAUGGUCUUCAAGUGAAUCUCUGAGAAAUAUAUCUCUGUGAUUUGCAAGUAUUGGAUGCCUACAAUAAAUAGUUUUAAGUGAUCAUCUUCACCGGAACUGUUCACAUAUAAGAAUAUAAGAAGUUUGCAAUGAUAUGUUUCAAUGCAUGUGUUUAUUACUGCCACAUCAGCCAGCCAUAGUCCAAAUAAUUUGAGGUAGUCCCAACACUCAUUUAAAUUAAAGCAUCUUUCGGCCAAAACCCUAUAUAGAGGUAACUCCCACUUCCAAAUAGGUGUGGAUGGGAGAAGAUGGUUCAUGGAUAUGGAAUGUUACAUGUGGAAUGUUUUCAUCCAACCAUCCCAACAGGUACGAUUUAUGGAAUAUGAUUCCUACUCUGCUGCUAUGAACUACUUCACUAAUAGCUUUAUACACAUACAUGUGGUUUGGCAUGGUCUAAAGCAGUGUUUCUAAUUUGCUGUGCUUGUAAAUGUGCACAUUUAAUACUUGACCCAUUUAACACUUGUGCUUUUAUUUUUUAUUUUAAAGUGUUGGGGAAGGGUUGAAAUUCCUGACUAGUUCUGUUGUUAUUUUUUUCCCUGGAAAAGAAUAUGAAGAUAAACAACAAUGAUAUUGUGAUUAUUUCUUUUGAUAUGCAGCAGUCAACAAUAAUGCCCUUUUCUGAAGUAUAUAUGCAGUAUUAUUCAUAAGUAAAGAAGAGCCCAGAUUUAUGUACUGUUUUACACAAAGAAUGUUUUUAUUUGGUAUUCAAGGAAGCACAGCAUUUUGUCUGCUUACUCCUUUUUAAAAAAUUAAAGAAAAUGGGU